AACUUUUAACAACGGAUCUCUUGGCUCUCGCAUCGAUGAAGAACACAGCGAAAUGUGAUAAGUAAUGCGAAUUGCAGAAUUCAGUGAAUCAUCGAAUCUUUGAACGCACCUUGCACCCUUUGGCAUUCCGAAGGGUAUGCUCGUUUGAGUGUCAUUGUACUCUCAUGCUCCCGAUGCUUUUGGAUCGGGAGUGGUGGACUUGGGUGUUGCUGCUUUACUGUGGCUCACCUCAAAUGGAGUAGUGCAACUCUUGGUUGGACAUAGUACGGCGUGAUAAGUGUCUUCGCCGGCACCUCGCAAGAGGGUGGCCGAUCGAGAGCUCUGUGCUUUCAAACCGUCUUCGGACACUUUCUGACAACUUGACCUCAAAUCGAGUAGGACUACCCGCUGAACUUAAGCAUAUCAAUAAGCGGAGGCU
RNAcentral lists this unclassified non-coding RNA (418 nucleotides) under uncultured Sebacinaceae. RNAcentral describes it as "sequence contains ITS2". The stretch from base 1 to 154 matches the Rfam family "5.8S ribosomal RNA". Lineage: Eukaryota; Fungi; Basidiomycota; Agaricomycetes; Sebacinales; Sebacinaceae. The record is from RNAcentral.